CCUACGGGGGGCAGCAGUGAGGAAUAUUGGUCAAUGGGCGGAAGCCUGAACCAGCCAAGUCGCGUGAGGGAUUAAGGCCCUGCGGGUCGUAAACCUCUUUUGCCGGGGAGCAGUGGUCCGGACGCGUCCGGACCGGGAGAGUACCCGGAGAAAAAGCAUCGGCUAACUCCGUGCCAGCAGCCGCGGUAAUACGGAGGUGGCAAGCGUUGUUCGGAAUAACUGGGCGUAAAGGAUGCGUAGGCGGUUAAACAAGUUAUAUGUUAAAUAUAUAGGCUUAACCUGUAGAAAGCAUAUAAAACUGUUUAACUAGAGUGCAGGAGAGGUAAGUGGAAUUCCUAGUGUAGCGGUGAAAUGCGUAGAGAUUAGGAAGAACACCAGUGGCGAAGGCGACUUACUGGACUGUAACUGACGCUGAGGCAUGAGAGCAUGGGGAGCAAACAGGAUUAGAUACCCCAGUAGUC
Molecule: ribosomal RNA, 461 nt
Filed under: uncultured bacterium
Lineage: Bacteria
Description: partial 16S ribosomal RNA
Rfam family: Bacterial small subunit ribosomal RNA
Source: RNAcentral